UACGGAGGGUGCAAGCGUUAUCCGGAUUCACUGGGUUUAAAGGGUGCGUAGGCGGGCCGGUAAGUCAGUGGUGAAAUCUCUGGGCUUAACCCAGAAACUGCCGUUGAUACUAUUUGUCUUGAAUAUCCUGGAGGUAGGCGGAAUAUGUCAUGUAGCGGUGAAAUGCUUAGAUAUGACAUAGAACACCGAUAGCGAAGGCAGCUUACUACAGGAUGAUUGACGCUGAGGCACGAAAGCGUGGGGAGCAAACAGG
Molecule: ribosomal RNA, 253 nt
Filed under: uncultured bacterium
Lineage: Bacteria
Description: partial 16S ribosomal RNA
Rfam family: Bacterial small subunit ribosomal RNA
Source: RNAcentral